UUCCUCAAAGUGAGAUGCCCCUUCCUGUCGACGCGUCGAGUUGCGUCGGUGUAUGCGGGGUGGCGGCAGCCAGGCGCACGAGGAGUAGGCGGCUCGAAACUGUUCGUUUCCUCUAGUGGCUCUCGUGUGCUCGCGUGACACGUGCGUGAAGGAAAAGACACAACCCCGGUUGAUUUUUUUUUUUUCUUUAGUGUUUAGUGGUGAAAAUAUUCGACGACGAACUCUCGUUAAAACGCAAUCCCGUAGUCGCCGCUGCCGCCCCCCUCUCACCACCCCCUUUCAACUCACCACACACUAUCGUAACAAGAAGAAGAAGAAGGACAACACAUUUGAGUUCAGUGAAUAUAUGAAAAUAUUCCAAGUGUAUUAAUUUAACAAUAAUAAUAACAAUUAGAACAUAAAACUAUGUGUGAGUCAGUGAUCAAAGUAUACACAUCGAACAUUUCAAUGAAACACAUAAGUUUGUUGUUAAUUAAUUCAAGAUAAUAAAUAAGGUGUAUGAAAUUUAUUUACAUUAUUGGAAUAAUUUUGACGGUGUUACGAAAAGAGUGAUGGAAAGAAAUCGAGAGAAAAAACGGAAGGAACAAGAAGAGGAAGAUGGGGUUCCAAAAAUCCUCGAAAUGUCUUCCUUAAAUAAACAAAAUAUAUAAUAUAUUUCUUUUGACUUUGUUUUGUUUUCUGUUCAAAGACUUACAUCGACAAUUAUUCUAUUACCUGUUCAAAAAAAAAACGAAAAAAAGAAUCAAAAAAGAAUCUUCAAAAUCAAAUGAAAGUAUGACGAACGAUUGUUUCAUUAAUUUUCAUCAUUUUUCUUCUCGAAAAGUGGGUUAGUUGGGUGGUUGGAAGGAGAAGGUCAACGAACGUUCAAUAACACAAAAUAUAUUUGUUCUUUUCUUUUUUCUUGUAAAGUCAGUGAAAUUGUCAAAAAGUUUGAAGUGUGAAACGUAAAAAAAAAAAACGUCUUUUGUGUUUUAAUUAACAUAAAUGGAACAAGAAAAAGUUGUAGACAUUUUGUUAAAAGAUUAACAUUGGGUAUCAACAAAUUGGAAGAAAAAAGAAAAAAAAAUGAUUACGCGAAUUGUGUAAGUGUGCGAGUGUGUAUACGUGUUAUCAUCGUGCGUUCAAUAAUAAAAAAAGGAGAAAGAAAACGUUGGAGAAAUUAAAAAAAAAAAAAAAAAAAAA
Molecule: long non-coding RNA, 1182 nt
Organism: Polistes dominula (European paper wasp)
Lineage: Eukaryota; Metazoa; Arthropoda; Insecta; Hymenoptera; Vespidae
Source: RefSeq, a predicted model, not a curated record